CAGUAGCCACGGUAAUACGUAGGGUGCAAGCGUUAAUCGGAAUUACUGGGCGUAAAGCGUGCGCAGGCGGUUAUAUAAGUCAGAUGUGAAAUCCCCGGGCUCAACCUGGGAACUGCAUUUGAGACUGUAUGGCUAGAGUGUGUCAGAGGGGGGUAGAAUUCCACGUGUAGCAGUGAAAUGCGUAGAUAUGUGGAGGAAUACCGAUGGCGAAGGCAGCCCCCUGGGAUAACACUGACGCUCAUGCACGAAAGCGUGGGGAGCAAACAGGAUUAGAUACCCCCGUAGUCCCUGUCUCUUAUAC
This 301-nucleotide ribosomal RNA is filed under the name uncultured bacterium. RNAcentral describes it as "partial 16S ribosomal RNA". It matches the Rfam family "Bacterial small subunit ribosomal RNA", at positions 509 to 807 of the family's 1533-position model. The record is from RNAcentral.